UGCCAGCAGCCGCGGUAAUACGAAGGGACCUAGCGUAGUUCGGAAUUACUGGGCUUAAAGAGUACGUAGGUGGUUAAAAAAGUUGGUGGUGAAAUCCCAGAGCUCAACUCUGGAACUGCCAUCAAAACUUUUUAACUAGAGUAUGAUAGAGGUAAGCGGAAUUUCUAGUGUAGAGGUGAAAUUCGUAGAUAUUAGAAAGAACACCGAAUGCGAAGGCAGCUUUCUGGAUCAUUACUGACACUGAGGUACGAAAGCAUGGGUAGCGAAGAGGAUUAGAUA
This 279-nucleotide ribosomal RNA is filed under the name uncultured bacterium. Its description in RNAcentral is "partial 16S ribosomal RNA". It matches the Rfam family "Bacterial small subunit ribosomal RNA", at positions 506 to 784 of the family's 1533-position model. The record is from RNAcentral.